GCGGCAAUAGCUCAGUUGGUAGAGCACGACCUUGCCAAGGUCGGGGUCGCGAGUUCGAGCCUCGUUUGCCGCUC
Molecule: transfer RNA, 74 nt
Filed under: Prevotella melaninogenica
Lineage: Bacteria; Pseudomonadati; Bacteroidota; Bacteroidia; Bacteroidales; Prevotellaceae
Also listed under: 1 other name
Description: tRNA-Gly(gcc)
Rfam family: tRNA
About the family: Transfer RNA (tRNA) molecules are approximately 80 nucleotides in length. Their secondary structure includes four short double-helical elements and three loops (D, anti-codon, and T loops).
Source: RNAcentral